GGGGCUAGUUUUAGCACGUAGGCGCCAUGGAUGACGAAUCGUGCUCGCUGCUGGCACAAACCCGCAGUAUCUUUCGAAGAUUUCUACCUC
This is a non-coding RNA of Glossina morsitans morsitans, 90 nucleotides long. Lineage: Eukaryota; Metazoa; Arthropoda; Insecta; Diptera; Glossinidae. The record is from Rfam.